CUCACUUCUGGCUAUUCCAUAGCUGCUGCUUUUCCCAUCCCCUGCUCUUGUGCGCUCUCGACUUGCCAGGAAGAACAACUCUGCAACAGGAUCCUUCUGCACACGUUUAUUGGGAGAGCUUGAUUGUAGAAGCGAAAAGACCCUGAGCCCAGAACUGGUGCUGCUUUUAUAGGCCUAGGAGAGGCGUGACUCACACCCGGAUUGGUUGUGCUUGGGUUAUGCUAAUCACCUCAUUUGCAUGCCUACAUCUGAUUGGUUAACUUCUCUCCCAUCUUGGCAAAAGAACCUUUACUGCCUAUGUAUGUGUGGUGGCCAGCAGUAGCCAACUGCUACUCUGCAACUGCCACUCUGCAAUUGCCACUCUGUAACUGCCACUCUGCAACGGCUUCCCACACCCUGCCCCAGCUCUCUCCCCUCACCUGAUCAGGACCAUCCUCCUCCUAUUGACACAGGUCACAUCACAGAAUGUCCUUAGUGAGUCUCCGAGGCACAGACUUCUGCAUGCCCAGGAAUGUUUUCCUUCACCCUCUCUGAAGGGUGGCUUUGCUGCAGCUGGCACCGUGCUGACGGUCACUUCUCACCUGACAUCGGGACACCCUUCAUUGACAUCUUAGAGCCAGUGCAGCAGCCUUCUCCUCUGCUGCUUUGGAGUUCCCAUGGGAGGUUCUGUCUCCUGAGGUGUCGGCUGGACAAUAGGACAGCAGAAAGUUCCUUGGCUCUGUAUGGCUCCCUGGGACUUCCUCGCGGCUUGGCAUUGACGAGGAGCACUCCAGAUGCAAAGGGAAGAUCCGGGUCUCUUGGUCUGGACUGGAAGAUUACACAGCUCUGGUCCCAUCAAUCCUUUCAGUCAAAACAAACGUUUCAGGGGAAGCUCGGUGUGUACCGUUCCUAGAGAUCAGCUUCCGGUGUCUUUACCACUUAUCAUCUUUUUUUUUUUUUUUUUUUUAGAUUUAUUUUCACUUAUGCCUCUCUCUCUGGAGGGCGGGGGAUGUUUGUGGAGGCUGGAAGAUGGGAACAGAUUGCCUGGGACUAGAGUUCAGGUCCUUUUUGAGUCAAAUUGAGAUUGUUUCGGUUCAGUGAGAGGCCUUGCCUUGAAGAUUUUGAUUCCUCUCAAUUUGGUUAGACCGGCUGGCCAGAAAGCCUUCAGAUCCCGUCUCUGCCUCCCCAACGCUGCAAUAACAGACAUUUCACCAUGCUGGGAAUUUUUUUUUUCUUUUAACUGAACUGAGCUCAGGUCUUGCCGCUUGCCUAGAAAGUACCUACCUGGCUGUGUACUGAGCAGUCUCCCUACCCGACCUGGGCAGGUUUUAAAUUCAUACUUCUAGUACCUAAAAUCCAAAUACAAGGUCCCCUCAUAGUUGGUGGUGUUGGGUUAUGAAAAAUUGUGUCCACUUGCUAGGUGUGAGACAGUAUCACAGCAUUGUAUAAAAUUUCCAGUUCCCAAGUGAAGUUAAGACUCUGUUGUUGCCAUUUGUUGGGCUGUCUCUACUGUUUGCAUUUUAAAUUCUUUACCCACCAUUACUAUUUAUUCUUAGUUUUAAAGACAAUACUAUUUUAAAUUACAUUUCUGUGUGAGUGUACACACAGUGCAGUUGUCCACUGAAGCUGGAGGCAGGGAAACCUCCUGGAGCUGAAGUUAGAG
Long non-coding RNA from Mus spicilegus (steppe mouse), 1642 nucleotides. NCBI's taxonomy places the organism in Eukaryota, Metazoa, Chordata, Mammalia, Rodentia, Muridae. The record is from Ensembl.